Molecule: transfer RNA, 82 nt
Filed under: Ixodes scapularis (black-legged tick)
Lineage: Eukaryota; Metazoa; Arthropoda; Arachnida; Ixodida; Ixodidae
Rfam family: tRNA
About the family: Transfer RNA (tRNA) molecules are approximately 80 nucleotides in length. Their secondary structure includes four short double-helical elements and three loops (D, anti-codon, and T loops). Further hydrogen bonds mediate the characteristic L-shaped molecular structure. tRNAs have two regions of fundamental functional importance: the anti-codon, which is responsible for specific mRNA codon recognition, and the 3' end, to which the tRNAs corresponding amino acid is attached (by aminoacyl-tRNA synthetases). tRNAs cope with the degeneracy of the genetic code in two manners: having more than one tRNA (with a specific anti-codon) for a particular amino acid; and 'wobble' base-pairing, i.e. permitting non-standard base-pairing at the 3rd anti-codon position.
Source: Rfam by way of RNAcentral
GCAGUCGUGGCCGAGUGGUUAAGGCGAUGAACUAGAAAUCCAUUGGUGUCUCCCCGCACAGGUUUGAAUCCUGUCGACUGCG